This 73-nucleotide transfer RNA is filed under the name Lachnospiraceae bacterium NK3A20. RNAcentral describes it as "rumen bacterium NK3A20 tRNA". It matches the Rfam family "tRNA". From Rfam's summary of the family: Transfer RNA (tRNA) molecules are approximately 80 nucleotides in length. Their secondary structure includes four short double-helical elements and three loops (D, anti-codon, and T loops). Further hydrogen bonds mediate the characteristic L-shaped molecular structure. tRNAs have two regions of fundamental functional importance: the anti-codon, which is responsible for specific mRNA codon recognition, and the 3' end, to which the tRNAs corresponding amino acid is attached (by aminoacyl-tRNA synthetases). tRNAs cope with the degeneracy of the genetic code in two manners: having more than one tRNA (with a specific anti-codon) for a particular amino acid; and 'wobble' base-pairing, i.e. permitting non-standard base-pairing at the 3rd anti-codon position. Lineage: Bacteria; Bacillati; Bacillota; Clostridia; Lachnospirales; Lachnospiraceae. The record is from Rfam by way of RNAcentral.
GCGCCCGUAGUCUAAUCGGAUAAAACAAAGGCCUCCGACGCCUUCGUUGCAGGUUCGAGUCCUGUCGGGCGCA